RNAcentral lists this unclassified non-coding RNA (22 nucleotides) under Mus musculus (house mouse). Its description in RNAcentral is "oocyte_clustered_small_RNA13632". Lineage: Eukaryota; Metazoa; Chordata; Mammalia; Rodentia; Muridae. The record is from RNAcentral.
UGAGUGAGAAUCAGGGGUUUGU